CCUACGGGUGGCAGCAGUGAGGAAUAUUGGUCAAUGGACGAGAGUCUGAACCAGCCAAGUAGCGUGAAGGAUGACUGCCCUAUGGGUUGUAAACUUCUUUUAUAUGGGAAUAAAAUGUUCCACGUGUGGGAUUUUGUAUGUACCAUAUGAAUAAGGAUCGGCUAACUCCGUGCCAGCAGCCGCGGUAAUACGGAGGAUCCGAGCGUUAUCCGGAUUUAUUGGGUUUAAAGGGAGCGUAGGUGGAUUGUUAAGUCAGUUGUGAAAGUUUGCGGCUCAACCGUAAAAUUGCAGUUGAAACUGGCAGUCUUGAGUACAGUAGAGGUGGGCGGAAUUCGUGGUGUAGCGGUGAAAUGCUUAGAUAUCACGAAGAACUCCGAUUGCGAAGGCAGUUCACUGGACUGCAAUUGACACUGAGGCUCGAAAGUGUGGGUAUCAAACAGGAUUAGAUACCCUUGUAGUC
RNAcentral lists this ribosomal RNA (460 nucleotides) under uncultured bacterium. RNAcentral's name for it is "partial 16S ribosomal RNA". It matches the Rfam family "Bacterial small subunit ribosomal RNA", at positions 338 to 795 of the family's 1533-position model. The record is from RNAcentral.